GCAGCGCUCCUGGUGAGACCGGACCGGGAAGUAUGUUCUCAUGCCCUGGGUAGAGAGAGGCAGGGAUCUAGAAGCCCUAAAUGGAACGCUUCAAUUCUUCGAAUCACACUUGUGAUGAGCCCUGUGGUGUGUCUAUUCCCCACAGCCAAGGAAUGAAGGCCGACUGUUUAACUUAAAAACUGCAUUCUAAAAGGCUGCCACUUCUUACUGCACGAAGAAAUACAAGAAUAAUCUGACCAGGAGGUCACUGGGGAAUUGCCAAAUGACAAAUAAAUCAGCAUUGUUUAUUAAAGUGA
Molecule: long non-coding RNA, 296 nt
Filed under: Rattus norvegicus (Norway rat)
Lineage: Eukaryota; Metazoa; Chordata; Mammalia; Rodentia; Muridae
Description: long non-coding RNA NONRATT011506
Source: RNAcentral